Carya illinoinensis is the source of this 959-nucleotide long non-coding RNA. RefSeq lists it as uncharacterized. Lineage: Eukaryota; Viridiplantae; Streptophyta; Magnoliopsida; Fagales; Juglandaceae. The record is from RefSeq and is a predicted model, not a curated record. The transcript is spliced from 2 exons.
UAGCCGGCGACCGUACAGAAUUGAUAAUUUAAUUGGAAAAUAGAAAAAUAAUGAGAUGGAAUAAUCAGAAAACGUUGCUGACAACUUAACAAGAUGGAAAUUAAAGAGGUGUGAAAAGCAAAGUUUCCGACUUUCCGUGGCUUUAAUUCGUACAGGUUGAUAGCGAGAGCAACCAGCCUCAGCCUGAAAGAUUUCACACGUUGCCAACAGUUUCUUUCCCAUGCUACGCAAAGUCCGCACGUUCUACAAGCCGAAUUUCUUCUACGAAUCUCACUAAACGCAGCUCUCUGAACCUCAGCAUUGUCUGAAUAUCCCCUCUGCAAGCAGAAUCGUGGUUAGAAACUUUGAUGACAGAAUCAUUUAUAUAGAGCUGGCAAAGCCUGGGGCAAUGCCUUCGGAGGAUGCCCAAGAACCUCUGCUCUACCAAAGGUGUGGCAUUUGCAGGAGCACAAGAUGAGGUGCCAGAUUACUGGUACUAACCAAUUUGCUUUUGAUUAAAUCCAGAAUUUUGAGAGGUGACAAAAUAGGAAUGGAGUUACGGUGGAGCAAUACUAGUCAAGCAGUUUGUCUAAUAUGAUCAAUAUAACUGAUGGUAUCUUACACAGCUUUGCCAUCAGUACUAAUCAAGUGUGAUCAAACACUCUCAAUAGGCAUGCUCUAUGCAAACCGAAAAGCAAAUGCUUCGUUGCCUCAAAGCAGAGGAGCUGCGAAAUUAUGAAAUAAGUUGUAGUUUUGGAAGUUUACUCGAACUUGUUCUACAGGUAAACAUGUCACUUUAAAAGUGAAAAUAGUGGAGAAUUGCAGCCUUUGUGAUUUGAUCAAUCUGAGUGACAAUUAGUAGGACAUGUGAUAAUGCCGUGUCUGUGUACAAUUAAGGAUAAUGUGAUUGGGCUUGUCCAUCUCAACCGCAUUUGUACAUUAGUAGUAGAGACUAAAUUGGGAUAAUAAUUUUGUUUGCA